Molecule: long non-coding RNA, 770 nt
Organism: Hipposideros armiger (great roundleaf bat)
Lineage: Eukaryota; Metazoa; Chordata; Mammalia; Chiroptera; Hipposideridae
Exons: 3
Source: RefSeq, a predicted model, not a curated record
GGGUCACGGCAUUAGGAAGGUUGAGAACCGCUGCUCUAGACGGAAUGAACAUAUUAGGUGAUAAGCUGGGAGAGGAUAUUCUCCAUGUCUUAAACCAACAGAAGUCUGUAACUAGGAUUAUCAAAUAACUCCUGAAAAUCGAUCCAGAAAGGAAAGGAAACCUAAUUACAAAAAUAAUAAUGGGCAAAGAAUAUGUAGAAGCCACUCCUGGAAGGAGAAAUCAGAAUGGCUGCGGCUCAUGCUCACUGGUGACCUGACAAAGGUAAAGGGCUUGGGCCAUGUUUUCCUGUGUCUUCAUCUGUUAGAUAACUUUGGAUUCUGUCCGGGCCAUUGGGAUGAUAUGUCACAGAGACUGGACUUGUUAGAGUCCUCUGGAAAAUGUCGAUUUUUAUUGAAGCAGGUCCAGGGCUCUUCAAGGCGGGGCUGCCGGCGUCCCUUGCCCUGUUUUAUCCUCACAUGAGCCCUACGAGAUCAGCGCUGCCCCAGGUAAGGGCAUUGCUGUUCAGAGACAUGAGGUACCUCCAGGUGAGCAGGCUGGCCCUGGGUUUGCACUUCCUGCCUCCUGAGGGCUGGCUUGGGGCUGCCCACGCGACCUGGCCCCUUCCUGGCUUAGACCCCACACCUUCCCUUCUGCCUGCAGGCCUGACACCAAAGAGGCUGUUCUUGUUUCCAGCAAGAAAAACUUGGCAAUGGCCAUGAGUUGAGACGACCUGAUAAAAUAUUUCUUGUUUUCUCAAGUUUACAUAGACCAAGUUUUCACUGUUGCUAUG